CUGGAUAAAUACUCCAUGACUAACGCAAUCCCUCUUUGGGAGAAGGGAGAGAUGAUUUAGAGUAUUUACUUUCAUUAAUUCUGUUUUGAGUCACUGUCAUGUUAAUUUAGCAGGAAGGAGAUUACUAAACACAUUUUACAGAGCAGAGACAUCCCCAGAAAGACUGUGCUCUGCAUCCAAGGCUGUGGGGCCGGCAUGACUGUACCCUUACAGCCUCCCAGGCUGGUGCACACACCUGUGAUUGAUCUGAGGUAAAAGUGCUGGAAGUUCAGAGCCCACCCAGCACAAGUUUGUGAGAUGCUAAUUUAAGAACAAUAGAAGCUGGGGAUGCAGCUCGAAUUCAGGACAGUCUGGGUCAGAUUCUCAUUAUAUCACUUAUAUGUUCAAUUGUGUUGGGUAAAUUGGAAUUUACUGCCUGAUGAUACGGACUGCAGGAGCAGUCCUGCUGCUCUAAUCACGCCAGCGUGGCCCCAGGCUGUGUCACAGGUCUGUCUGCGAGGCACUGGGCCAGGGCAGGGUGGAGUACCGUGGAUAUCACCUUAUGAGCUUUAUGAGGCUGCAAUUUGGUGCAAUUAGCUCCAGAUGCUUUGAGACACAAGCUCAUCCCUUCUGGGUGAGAUAAGGUUAAGGGGAAACUGAACUCUGUUCUAUACGCCCUUAUCCUCGGCAGGGCUUAUUUUAUAGGAUAAAUAAAAGGUGAGCAUAUGGAACAUACUGACGUCAGCCAGGGCCAGCUACAGCUGCCCCAGAAGAGAAUAAACGUCCUGUUUGCAUACUUUGGGUGUCACCUUUACCCAGUCCCCAUAUUGCAUUCCUUUAUUCUCUUUCUGCCAUUUACUUGUGUUUUCCUUCUUGAGGUCUCUAACUCGGUCCAUUUUGUCCUGUGGUAUUUUAGACUUCCUCUUGCAACCUCAAAAAGGCAGUGUGCUUUUCUCCUGUGACCACUUGCCUUUACAUUUCCGUAUGGCCACAUGACGGACUUUCUGAUCGUGAGAACAAAAGCAACAAUCUGGGCUCAGCAGCCUCAUCUAAGCAGCCUCCAUGCGCACUUCCCAUGCCCUUGUUUGCCCUUCACUGCUUUUGCUUCAUUCAGAUUUGUAAACUCAGUGCAUAGGCGCUUUGUCUUUGUUUACGUACAGAUGGUGCCUAGCACCGGUCUUGGAUUUGACAAACAUUAAAUAAUCAUAACUUCAGGAUGAUUAUUAGUAUUGGCAUUUAGAAGUCACAGCUGGCCAAGAACACCAAUUCUCUGCUGUUGCUCAGAUGACCUUGUCUGAUUUGGACACGCCCGCAGCAGACAGUUAUAUUCUAGCACGCUUGCAUUUACCCUUGGAUACCACCUGGAGACCAGAGCUGGCAAUGAUUGCAGCUGAUCUUCUUUGGAGCACUUGCAAGUUCUUUCCCUGCAUGCCGGCUUGCUGUGGAUGUAAUUUCAGGAUCCCAGAAGCUUGGAAGGCUGAGGCAAGAAGGUGGCAAGUCUAGCCCAGCCUGGGGUAACUUGGUGACUUAGCAAAACUCUGUGCUGAAAAACAAACCAAUCAACCAAACCAAAACAGCAACAAAA
This is a long non-coding RNA of Cavia porcellus (domestic guinea pig), 1564 nucleotides long. RefSeq lists it as uncharacterized. The record is from RefSeq and is a predicted model, not a curated record. The transcript is spliced from 2 exons. Lineage: Eukaryota; Metazoa; Chordata; Mammalia; Rodentia; Caviidae.